This 2492-nucleotide long non-coding RNA is filed under the name Salvia miltiorrhiza (redroot sage). Its description in RNAcentral is "long non-coding RNA (SMIL_LNC000829)". The record is from RNAcentral. Lineage: Eukaryota; Viridiplantae; Streptophyta; Magnoliopsida; Lamiales; Lamiaceae.
UCCGCCAUAUGCACGUCGGUAGGGCUGUAAAAUCGGUAGCGGGUAUACCCUCACCCGUCCUAAAUUACUCGCGCGGGUAUCGGAUAUUCGAUACCCGCAAAUUUAAAGAGGAGGGUUGGGUGCGGGUAUCAUAUCUUCAAAAAUGUCGGGUAGAGGCGGGUAUACUGUAUACCCGAGGGUACCCGCAUACCCGCAAAAUUAAUAAUUUAAAAUUAAGUAAUUUUUAGGAAUUAAGAAAUUAGGAAUUGCUGAAUUCUGAUUCUUUCUCUCGCUCUCGACUCCACCCCCACCCACCUUCACUGUUACUGAGUCGUCCGCUGCCCCUGCCUUCUCACUUCGUCCGACAACCGCCUCUCCAGACUCCGGCCAUCCGCGGUUCGCCUCGCCCGCCUCUAUCAGAAAUUGACGCGACGGCGCGAAGUUCGGCACUUUCUUCUAUCGCGUCGUCGCCACAGCCCACCUCCCACCGGUCGCCAGUCGCCACGCCCGUCGCCACCGCGGUUCGCCUCGCCCGUUGCCACCGCUGUUAGCUUUUAUGGUAAGCAUUCAUCACAGAAAAUUCUUUGUUAAGUGCUAAUUGUUUGCAAUUUCGCCGGUUGGUUGUAUGGUGGUUCGGUUUCUUGGCUUGCCUUUGUCUCUCUACUUACUUUGCAUUUUCUAAGCUCUGCAUUGCUGUUCAUUAUGUGUGCUUAUUCUUGUUCAAUUUUUCUUUCCUAAAUAUGUAGUCGUAGUGGAAGUGGGUUUGGGGAAUACAUAGGGCUGGGAAUUUCGGGAUCGGGUAAUCGGGUACCCAAUACCCGACCCGAAAAAAUCGGGUAUCGGAUACCCGAUACCCGAAAAAAUCGGGGUCGGGGUCGGGGUCGGGUAUUUAGGCUGUGAAAAAAUCGGGUAUCGGGUAUCGGGUAUACCCGAAUUACCCGAUUUUUUAAUUAAUAAAUUUUACACUAUUUAAUUCCCAAACUCCCACUGCCCUAAUCAAUUCAUCCGUGACGUCCCUCCCAAACUCCCAGCGGCCAGCCCUAAUCAAUUCCCAAACUCCCACUGCCCUCGAUUCCCUCCCAAUUCCCAAAUCAAUUCAUCCCUCCCAAACUGAACUCCCAGUCCGCCGGCCCUCCUCUCGGCUCUCACUCCAGAGUCCAGCCCCAGCCGGCCGCCCCACUCGCCCCUCGCCAGCCCAGCGUCGGCGCGUCGCCGUCGUUCCCAGCCUCCCCAGUCCGCGACCCUCGCCCGCCCGCCGUUCCCGUCUCCGUGACGUCGCGACCCUCGCUAAUCGUUCCCAGAUCCGAGACCCUUGCUCAAUCGCCCAGGCGUUCCCGUCGUUCCGCCGCCGCCUACGACUUCGCCCCGCAGCAGCCGCACCGCCUCCGAGCUCCAACAGGCGCUGCUGCUUCUUCUUCUUCCUCUUUUUUUUUUUUAAAUAAACAGAUAUGCUUUUUUGUACAAAAUGGAGAAUUGCUACAGAUCUGAAAGUUGCUACGAGUAUUGAAUUUGGUCAUUGUCUCAUUGAAUUGGAAUUGAUUUGUAUUUGCUGCUUUGGAAUUGGAAUUUGGUCAUUGACAUUGUCUCAUUGAAUUGGAAUUGAAAUCGGGUAUUGAAUUUUCGGGUAUUGAUUUGCUGCUUUGAAUUUGCUGCUUAGAAAAUAUCGGGUAUUAGGGUACCCGAUUUCGUUUUCGGGGUCGGGGUCGGGUAUAGGGUUUAGGGGAUUUUCGGGUUCGGGUACCCAAUUUUUUCGAGUAGGGUACCCGAACCCGACCCGAUUCCCAGCCCUAGGAAUACAUUAUUUAAAACUAGAUCUACAAUUGCAGCUAGGUACAACUAGAUUGGUUGAUGACUAGUUCUAUUGACAAGAAAGAUGAAGAAGGAGUACCACAUGAAGAAUUACAAAGAGAAUUUGAAAUGAGUAAGUAAAUUUUAUUAUUUUAUUUAAUAUGCAUAUGCUUUAAUUGUUGUUUUAUUUUGUAAUAUUUAUUUAUUUUGUGUAUAGUGUUAGCCCUUCGAGCUGCAGCGACGGGAUCCACACAAAUAGCUCAGAGCGAGAGUGGGAUGGUGUCGAGUCAGAGUUGAUGGAGUAGGAUUGGAAACAACCAACUAGCAAGUGCCAGAGGAAUGGAUUUUGCCAUGUGUACACUAUUAAUUUUAUUUUGAAGAUGUGUGAUGGUCCUCUAAUAUUACUUUACUAUUGACUUUGUCUUUAUUAGAUUGUUGGAUAACUUGGAUUGACCUUUGAUCGUUGUGCUUAGAGAUGUCAAUCGGGCCAAUCCACCGGGUUUCGGGCCAGCCCUAUCGGGUUUCGGGUUAAUCGGGUGCGGGCUAAUCGGACUGGGGAUUUUGUCGGGUUAUAAAUUUUCAACCCUAACCCUAAAUGUUCGGGUUUCGAGCUAGCCCAUCGGGCUAGUCAGCUUAAAUGCGUAAAAUAAAAUAAUCAUUUGUAUUUUGUUAUUUUUAAUGAUCUAAUGUAUAAUGUAUGAAAUAUACAUAAAAAUCAAAGAUAU